GAGCCGAGUCCCCAAACGUUUUCUCCCAAUUUCUGAGAUCUGCGCAAAACCCUAAACCCCAUUGCCGAUUUUGCUGCGAAUUCAGUCAAAAUGUCGAUGUCGAAGAGUUCUAAGAUGCUUCAAUACAUCAAUUAUCGUAUGCGUGUUACUAUCCAAGAUGGCCGUCAAUUGAUCGGUAAGUUUAUGGCAUUUGAUCGACAUAUGAAUCUUGUACUUGGCGAUUGUGAAGAGUUUCGUAAGCUUCCUCCUACUAAAGGUUCUAAGGAAGAACGUGAAGAUCGCCGUACACUUGGUCUUCUUCUUCUCAGAGGUGAAGAAGUUAUUUCCAUGACUGUUGAAGGUCCUCCACCUCCCGAUGAUUCUCGUGUUAAAGCUACUGCUGGUGGUGUUUCUGCUGUUCCUGGACCUGGGUUGGGUAGGGCUGCUGGUCGGGGUGUUCCGACUGGUCCGAUGGUUCAUGCUCAGCCGGGUCUUGCUGGUCCUGUUCGUGGGGUUGGUGGACCUGCACCGGGAAUGAUGCAGCCGCAGAUUUCUCGUCCGCCGAUUAAUUACCCGCCGCAGCCUCCUCCUCCUAUGGUUCGACCACCUGGUGGUGGACCUCCACCGCCAAUGCAAAUGCAAAUGCAAAGACCUGGUGGCCCACCUAUGCCACCGCCGCCACAGUUCAGGCCUGGCGGGCCUGGACCAUUUCCGCCUCAGUUUGGUCAGAGGCCCAUGGGACCACCACCGCCACAGAUGAUGAGAGGUCCUCCACCACCGGGGGCGCAGCCACCAAGACCGGGAAUGCCUGGUGGACCACCUC
RNAcentral lists this unclassified non-coding RNA (802 nucleotides) under Hevea brasiliensis (rubber tree). The record is from RNAcentral. Lineage: Eukaryota; Viridiplantae; Streptophyta; Magnoliopsida; Malpighiales; Euphorbiaceae.